Molecule: long non-coding RNA, 435 nt
Organism: Paramormyrops kingsleyae
Lineage: Eukaryota; Metazoa; Chordata; Actinopteri; Osteoglossiformes; Mormyridae
Source: RefSeq, a predicted model, not a curated record
CUAUCUCUCCCUUUCUCUCUCACUUUCUCUCUCUCCCUCUCCGCGCACACACGCGCCCACACGUUCUCGCACCAAACAGAGCGCGAGGAAGCGAACAGAAUACUUGGAUGAAGCGCGCGGGGCGUGCUGCGCGUCAAGUUCAAGUUACCCUGACUGACACACCGCUGACAACUCUGCACAAGUCAGAAAAAUAAUACGCAUGUAUGUGUGCAUCUCGCACUCAUCAUGGUCACAACAACAGCAACACCGGUUUGGUUUGUCCUGGGACAUGAUUCCACAGAUGACCACCGAGGCUGAGACAUGGUGCCAGGAUUUCAGAAGUGAGGAAAAACCAGGCUUCAUCUGUUCUUGAGCAAACAGCUUGUGCAUUUAAAAAAAGAGAAAUAUUCCAUUUGACAUGCAAAUGGAAACCAAAUAAAUGUUGUCUUGCAUUGA